This 345-nucleotide ribosomal RNA is filed under the name Triticum aestivum (bread wheat). Its description in RNAcentral is "partial small subunit ribosomal RNA". Lineage: Eukaryota; Viridiplantae; Streptophyta; Magnoliopsida; Poales; Poaceae. The record is from RNAcentral.
UCGGACUACUGGCAAUACUUCGUGUGGUACCACAAAUUCCUUCCUGGGAAGCAAAAGUUUUAUACAGUGGGCUUAGCGGCCGUAUGUUGGGCCAUUUGGUUCGCACGCAAUCGAGCUACUUUUGAAAAGAAACAAAUUAAGACUCCUUUUGAGAUUGUGUUUUCUUUAUGUUCCUUUCUACUCUAUUGGACAGGGCUUCAACAAGGAGAGGACGCCAAGGAUCUUCGCGCUGGAGCUGAGAUGAUCAGGACUGGGAUGAUGCAGCUGAUGAAGAUGUGUGGUGCUGUCAAGCAACCAAUCCAAGGUGCCCGAUGCUCUCUGGAGAUGUGCUGGAUGAGGAGAUGA